CACGUAGGGGGCAAGCGUUGUCCGGAUUUAUUGGGCGUAAAGAGCUCGUAGGUGGUUCGGUAAGUCGGGUGUUAAACCCCCAGGCUCAACCUGGGGACGCCACUCGAUACUGCUGUGACUAGAGUCCGGUAGGGGAGCGUGGAAUUCCUGGUGUAGCGGUGAAAUGCGCAGAUAUCAGGAGGAACACCAGCGGCGAAGGCGGCGCUCUGGGCCGGUACUGACACUGAGGAGCGGAAGCGUGGGUAGCAAACAGG
This 254-nucleotide ribosomal RNA is filed under the name uncultured bacterium. RNAcentral describes it as "partial 16S ribosomal RNA". It matches the Rfam family "Bacterial small subunit ribosomal RNA", at positions 524 to 776 of the family's 1533-position model. The record is from RNAcentral.